ACAGCAGUCGCCGCGGGAAUACGUAGGGUGCGAGCGUUAAUCGGAAUUACUGGGCGUAAAGCGUGCGCAGGCGGUUCGUUAAGACAGAUGUGAAAUCCCCGAGCUUAACCUGGGAACUGCAUUUGUGACUGGCGAGCUAGUGUAUGGCGGAGGGGGGUAGAAUUCCACGUGUAGCAGUGAAAUGCGUAGAGAUGUGGAGGAAUACCGAUGGCGAAGGCAGCCCCCUGGGCCAAUACUGACGCUCAUGCACGAAAGCGUGGGGAGCAAACAGGAUUAGAUACCCGCGUAGUCCCUGUCUCUUAUAC
This 305-nucleotide ribosomal RNA is filed under the name uncultured bacterium. RNAcentral's name for it is "partial 16S ribosomal RNA". It matches the Rfam family "Bacterial small subunit ribosomal RNA", at positions 508 to 807 of the family's 1533-position model. The record is from RNAcentral.